AGCGAACGCUGGCGGCAGGCUUAACACAUGCAAGUCGAGCGGGCGUAGCAAUACGUCAGCGGCAGACGGGUGAGUAACGCGUGGGAACGUACCUUUUGGUUCGGAACAACACAGGGAAACUUGUGCUAAUACCGGAUAAGCCCUUACGGAGAAAGAUUUAUCGCCGAAAGAUCGGCCCGCGUCUGAUUAGCUAGUUGGUGUGGUAACGGCGCACCAAGGCGACGAUCAGUAGCGGUCUGAGAGGAUGAUCAGCCACAUUGGGACUGAGACACGGCCCAAACUCCUACGGGAGGCAGCAGUGGGGAAUAUUGGACAAUGGGCGCAAGCCUGAUCCAGCCAUGCCGCGUGAGUGAUGAAGGCCCUAGGGUUGUAAAGCUCUUUUGUGCGGGAAGAUAAUGACGGUACCG
RNAcentral lists this ribosomal RNA (407 nucleotides) under uncultured bacterium. Its description in RNAcentral is "bacterial SSU rRNA". It matches the Rfam family "Bacterial small subunit ribosomal RNA", at positions 29 to 480 of the family's 1533-position model. The record is from RNAcentral.